Cyanistes caeruleus (blue tit) is the source of this 3135-nucleotide long non-coding RNA. RefSeq lists it as uncharacterized. The record is from RefSeq and is a predicted model, not a curated record. Lineage: Eukaryota; Metazoa; Chordata; Aves; Passeriformes; Paridae.
CCCUCUGCCCGAGCUCCGGUGCGCUCCAGGUGCGGGCUGCGGCUCGAAGGAUGUUGAGAUCCGGCGGUGAAGGGUGUUCCAGAGAUGCCGCAUGCUGCGGGUGCUACGUGGAUCGCUAUGCCUUUGGAUGCGAACGGUCUGUCAUUGGUCUUGCCCGUACAAAGCAGGCUUCCCAAUGCCUGCAAAUAAGUACGGUGCUAGCUUUUCUGUUACUUUCGUCCUAAAAUGUGUAAAUCAGUUUUUUUCCCACCCUCUGAAUGUUACUCAUAUUUUCCAGUUACAAAGGGUUUAGCUGAUAAAGAUUAAAAAUAAAUGAGCGUUUAUGUUUCUAGGAAACACUUAGUAAGCAAAUAGUUAACGUGGUGCUUUAGGAUGAAAACUUGUGCUGUGAGGAAGUCCACGGCACUUCCACACUUACACAAGAGUGUAUAAAACUGACAGGAAGUUGCAGUGAGGCUUCUGGCAAGGAGAGUGGGUGUGGAGGAAGCAGAGGCUUUUCUGUUUGUAGGACAGAGAUAGAAAAGGCAGACCAUAUGACUUCAGAAUCUGUGGGAAGAUGCUAAAGCUCAGAGCAGGGUCAAAGGAUGACCAGUGAAACGAACUGUCCUUGGUAGGGAACACUUCAUCGAGAUACAGGGUAUCCAGAAGGUGAUGCACUUUAAAAAAACAUUUUUCUUUUACACUUGCUCCCAAAUCCUGAACAUCAUAAAAUCUCUUCCAAGUCCAAUCUCUUGGUGUUUUACAGCUUAAACCCUUGUGUAAAUGAUAAUGAGUCCCUGUAAAUGAUGGAUAAUGCAAGAGAGCUCUGGUUGUGAGAAAUCAAGUUUCUCAGCAAGGCAUCCUAUGCAGGACAAAAAUCAUUAAUGAGACGAAUAGGUGAAAUACAUCCUUUCAAGUGAAAAUCAGAAAAGCAUUUCAUGCAGUUAUUAGCUGUGUAGCAUAUUAGCUCACCAGACAGAAAAGUACUUGUGUUCUUAUUUUUUUCUGUCACUAGAUAUUAUCAGCGCCCAGAAAUAUUCAGAGGAAAAGAACAAAGAUGUAUAUCCUCAGCCUUCACAACUUUAUUCAGUGAACUAGGUUAAUCACAAACAAUUUGCAGCAUUCCAGGAAUAUGUCAUUAAUGUAAUAGUAUUUUAUGGUGUGCCUUUCAUUGUUCUGUGUUUUAUAGGCUCUGGGGCAAAUCCUGUUCUUCGCCAUACAAUAGGAAAAGAAGAAAGUGACCUUUGGGUGUCUUGAGUAAAUCUCUGUGAGCAGAUCCUGGUGUUUUGAGUUUCAUAUAGGGGUAUCUGGAACUUAGUAUUUUACAAGAAGUGUAUAUACACUUAUAUAAACAUACGGUUUGCUUAAUAAAGACAUGUUUGGAGAUUGAUCACUAUAACCAGAAGAAAUAGGCAAUUAAGAUUCAUUCUAAGCAAGAGACCGAAUGUUCCCUCUACCCAACUGUCUCAGCCACAUAGUUUGGAUGUAAAUUGGGCCUUUAGUUUUGGAUUUUCCUAUGAAUCAUUUAGCUAAUCUUCAGCACAAUUCUUAAACCAGCUUUACUCAUGUUGGUGUGACAGGCAAAUAGCAAUCGGUGUGCUUGUUAAGCAUACUCACCCAGUACUUCACAGUGCUUGUUCUCCUCAGCUUGCUCAGUUUCCUACGUGCCUAAUCACUGACGGUCACUCAAGCAGCUGAACAAGUGCUGACAUUUCACUAUGAUAGAGCAACUCCGCAGAGAACCAGGAAUCUGGGUGAAAUGAGGGGGAUAUGGCUGCAGCGUUGUUGUGUUGAAUAGGAACAACACAGACACAUGCUUUAGUGGGCCUGCCUGUGCCCAGCACUGAUCUGGAAUUUUUAGAAGAAGGUCAAACUGUUUACUGAACAAAAAGCACUAGAGACCUGCUUAUGCACAUAAAUCUUAACAUCAAAUAGAUUUUUCUAAAGCACUGUAGCACUUGUCCUUUGUGCUGUAUUCUGUGUCUCCCAAUUUACCAAUUGCCUGCAUGUACUUCAAAGCCCUUUAAUUUCAAUGACCAGUGCUUAGCUAAGGUAGUCCAGUCUGGUCAUCACUAACACAGUGAGCCAUAUGAUAAUGUCAUGGCUGUUGUGGUGAACAAGAGAACAUAGUAGAUCCCCUCUGAUGGAAGAUGAGGAGGAAAAUACUGAGAAAUCUUGUUAAAGUUCAGUGGAAUUACUGGGGGAGUAAGGUGGAGGUUGAUGAUUAUUGGGUGAAAACAAAGUAAUAUUUUUUAAAUGAUUCUUUAAUAAAAGCUUGGCAGGGCAGCUUUUGGUCACCUCCAUGUAAUUUUCCUAACUUUGCCUGCAUUGUUUUCACUGGGACUGCAUUGGUGUUGGAGUGAAGAAUGUGGCACUACGUGUAUUGCAGUUUCAUUGCUGCUGUAACACAGCCAUCCCUGGGACAGAAUGCAGAGCUGGCUUGAGCCAGCAAACUCUAAAGUUAAAUGGGUAUGUGGUGCCAGGGAAUACAGUGCUGGCUGCAUGCCAGCUAGCUGUGAGCUUUUCUAGAAAUUUGUCCUGAAGGGAAAAGAAACACCAUUUGGUAAAUCCUAAGAGGAUGCUUUGCUUUGAGGGGAGCUAAUUUCUCAUCUUUUAAGGUGAAUGGACUGAAAGGGAUCAGUUCUUAGCUCUACAACUCGGCUGUUCCAGCAAGAGAAUGGUUACUAGAUCAGAAUGUGCUCUGGAUCAUGAGAGCAAUAAAGAGAAAACUUCUUCAACACUAAAGAAAAAUAACAUAUUUUUGAGACAUAGAAAUUCAGGAGUCCCAAGAGUUUUAAUUGCCUCUGCACUACACAGAAUCUUCUGUUUCAAUGUCGAGCAACAUUAAGUUUGAACUCCAGACAGGAUUUCUACAUUCAGAGAAGGCUGGUGAAGAGGAGGCCUGUGAAUCACUACCAGAGACAGGGACAGAAUGGAAGCUGUAGCCCUGGUGUUGCAUUUCCUUCCAUGAAAAUGAUCCUCCUGUUGCCCUGGUGCUGUGUUUCACAUGCUAAGGUGAUACUCCAUGGGCUAUGCUGGUUGUGCAGCCUGUUUGUGUGCCCCAUGUGGCAUUUCCAAAUUCAAUUCAAAUUAAAGAAGACACGGGGCCAUGAUUUUAAUGAUGUGACAUCAAAUAAAGCUUCUAAUUUGUUUUAA